Molecule: ribosomal RNA, 468 nt
Filed under: uncultured bacterium
Lineage: Bacteria
Description: partial 16S ribosomal RNA
Rfam family: Bacterial small subunit ribosomal RNA
Source: RNAcentral
GACGAACGCUGGCGGCGUGCUUAACACAUGCAAGUCGAACGGAAAGGCCCUGCUUUUGUGGGGUGCUCGAGUGGCGAACGGGGGAGUAACACGUGAGUAACCUGCCCUUGACUUUGGGAUAACUUCAGGAAACUGGGGCUAAUACCGGAUAGGAGCUCCUGCUGCAGGGUGGGGGUUGGAAAGUUUCGGCGGUUGGGGAUGGACUCGCGGCUUAUCAGCUUGUUGGUGUGGUAGUGGCUUACCAAGGCUUUGACGGGUAGCCGGCCUGAGAGGGUGACCGGCCACAUUGGGCCUGAGCUACGGCCCAGACUCCUACGGGAGGCAGCAGUGGGGAAUAUUGCACAAUGGGCGGAAGCCUGAUGCAGCAACGCCGCGUGCGGGAUGACGGCCUUCGGGUUGUAAACCGCUUUCGCCUGUGACGAAGCGUGAGUGACGGUAAUGGGUAAAGAAGCACCGGCUAACUACGUG